This 154-nucleotide ribosomal RNA is filed under the name Golovinomyces cichoracearum. RNAcentral's name for it is "5.8S ribosomal RNA". It matches the Rfam family "5.8S ribosomal RNA". Rfam says of the family: 5.8S ribosomal RNA (5.8S rRNA) is a component of the large subunit of the eukaryotic ribosome. It is transcribed by RNA polymerase I as part of the 45S precursor that also contains 18S and 28S rRNA. Functionally, it is thought that 5.8S rRNA may be involved in ribosome translocation. Lineage: Eukaryota; Fungi; Ascomycota; Leotiomycetes; Helotiales; Erysiphaceae. The record is from RNAcentral.
AAACUUUCAACAACGGAUCUCUUGGCUCUGGCAUCAAUGAAGAACGCAGCGAAAUGCGAUAAGUAAUGUGAAUUGAAGAAUUUAGUGAAUCAUCGAAUCUUUGAACGCACAUUGCGCCCCUUGGUAUUCCGAGGGGCAUGCCUGUUCGAGCGUC